This is a long non-coding RNA of Helianthus annuus (common sunflower), 2980 nucleotides long. RefSeq lists it as uncharacterized. Lineage: Eukaryota; Viridiplantae; Streptophyta; Magnoliopsida; Asterales; Asteraceae. The record is from RefSeq and is a predicted model, not a curated record. The transcript is spliced from 12 exons.
GAUGAUUUGUAAUUUGGGAUGAUCUUAUAUGAGUUUUGUUUAGAUAAAGUUGAUUGGUAAAGAUUGAGAUGCAUUGUUUGAAAGAAGCAAGCUGAAUCAUCUCUCUCAGAUCCUAUAUCGCAUAUGCUAAUGAUUUUUAAUCGACUUUGGUGAUUCGACUUGGUCACACUUUGCCACAAACGGGUCAAAUGGUUAAAUUUUCAUAGAUAAGCAUUUUAUCCCUUUUUCUUCUGAUGUAAUUUAAUCAUUUCGCUUUAUUGGUUUUGUAGUUAUAUGAGUUUCUAUUAACGACUACUGGUAGUAAAAAGUUUGUGAAGCUAAUUUUCAAAUAAUUUUUUUUCAAGAUUUAAUUACCACCAUGUUAGACGUUCACUUUUAUAGUUUUUCGUUAGGCUUUUGGAAAUAAUGUCCAAGAAUUCAAUGAUUUGAAACGAGGAUCCUGCACUUCGUCAGGAAAUCGACCUUGAAGAUGAAAGAGUUGCAGGCACAUUGCAUUCUGUAUAGAUUGUGGAGUUUUAAUUGUAAAGGUUUACACUUGUGUUGCAAAACUCAAAUUAUAUGGCCUUUUGCUACAUCUUGUCGUAUAGCAUAGGCAUUAGGUAAAAAGAGUUAUCCGAUGAGAAACCAAAGGGCAAGGCAACCAUACAUUAUCAGCUUCGGCUUGCAGAUCUGAUUCAUACAUUUUCUUCACUACAGAGAGAUUUUAAUUUUAUUCAUCAUACAAGUAUUCCCGGAUGGAAAGAAUAAGAUAAAGUUGAUUGGUAAAGUUUGAGAUGCAUUGUUUGAAAGAAGCAAUCUGAAUCAUCUCUCUCAGAUCCUAUAUCGCAUAUGCUAAUGAUUUUUAAUCGACUUAGGUGAUUCGACUUGGUCACACUUUGCCACAAACGGGUCAAAUGGUUAAAUUUUCAUGGGUUAAAUGGGAAACAAACUUUUAUUCCUUGGCGGUUACUCAAAGGAGACCUUUGAUAAUGUUACAGUGUGUUUCAUUGAUCUUGAGUCACAAGUGACUGGGGUUUUGGAAGCCACAUGAAAAAAAUCUGGUAGCUUGUGGUGGGCAAUCUGUGACAUUGGUUGGUUCAAAACUUAUAAUGUUUGGGGGAGAGGGCAAACAUAGACUGCUUUUGAAUGACUUUACUGUCCUUAAUCUAGAGAUAAUGCUUUGGAAUGUUACCGAGACCACUUUUUAAAUGGUCAACGAACUUGUGUCCCUCGCCGGUGACCAACUCCCUGUUCCGAUAAGUCGGAUAAGUUAUAAAUUCAUAGUUACAAUUUAUUUCUUGGAAAUAUAUCUAAAUUUUUUUGACUAAAAGAAUUUUUAGAAUAAAUAAAUUUCGCCAGCCUUUUUUUAGGUUAAUAAUUUCAGAUUGAUGAUAUGGGAAGCCCUGAUAUUAUCAAAAUUUGUGGGUGAUUUUGGGUUGGAGCUUCCAUAUUUAUAUCGGAGGUUGGCGUGAGCCGGUGGCUAAUGUGUCGGCUCAAAGUUUCACGGUUUUGGGAUUACCCUACCCGGUUCGGAGGAGGUGUCAAACCGAAUGUUGGAGAAUACCAUGUCGAGUCUGCUCAACUGGGCCGCGUACGCUCAUCGAGUCGUCUUCGAAUCAAUAAGGUGCCAAAAAGUUUACUUCUGGAUGCAUCUGGAAAACUCAGUUACGGAUUUUAUAUCGAGUGCCCUUGCUCAACAAGUUAAUGGCGCUGGCUUACUUCACACAAUGGAACUCCAAAACAUGUCGCUCUUGAGGUGCAAACAAUUGAAGGACAAAAAAAACAUCAGAGGUUAUAUAUGGGGAAAAGUGAGUCUUCUAUGGAUUUAUAUUUUUUUUCGUGGUGUUUAUAAGAUCACUCAACGUGUUUGUAAACAUAAUUGGUUUUUCACGCUGGAACGAAGCUGGUUUGUGUUGUAUUAUCACAGCCCAUUCCAUCUAAGCUCCGAUACCUGCAAAAGGCCAUCAAGAUCAAGUUUUUACUGUGUCUAAGUUUUUUGCAGCUGAUCUUUAAUGAUGAAAUCCAAAUUUUUUUAGCAAGCUCUCAACCUCUUUCAUGUAGUACACAUGUUAUAAUAAAUAAAAAUAGAUUGGGGACACGUGCCCUCUCUAAUAAUCGACACUACCCGUUUUUCGGUACCGGUACAGUACCGGUAUCUUGGUUGAUUUAACGGUACCGUACCGGUUAUAUUCGGUAUCGAUACCUGUUUUUCCCAUUUUUUGGUACCGGUACCGGUCCAGUACCAUGCUCAUCUUUAUUUGCUGGAUUUAGUGUUCAUUUUCGUUGAUUUCAAUCGUAUGAUUAGUUGACUUCAUGACAGAAUGAGACCUUCAUAUGCACAAUUUGUAGAAAAAUUUACCAGGAACAUUGAACAAUUAAAUGGAAUCCCAGCUAUAACACAUAACAACAAGGUAACAAUCUGACUUCUAACAAUAUACCUUAUUGUAAUUGCAUGUACCGGGUAAUAAACUGGCCAAUAAUUGCAUGGUUAUCUGGUGGUUAAGGAUUUUCUCAUCGUCGAUGAUUAUAUACUCUCAAUUAUUUGAAUGUUUUUAUUUUGUUUUGCAAUGUUGAUAUUGAUUAACACUUAAUAGAAAGUAAAUCGUUUAAUAACAAUUAAUCAUUGUGAAUAUGAGUUAUUCGUUUGGGUUUGUCGAAUCUGAAUCUGAUUUUACCUGAUUUAUUUGAAACUGUAUUAAUUAAAUAGCUAUACAAAAUCUAUACCACCUGGAACUUCAAAUAUGCACUUCAAAACGGUGAGAUAGAGAAUUCAAUUCUACUACUCAAGUAUAUUUAGUCGGUUCUAAAUUUCCUAAACAAAAUUGAAUAGUCGGUACCUAAGAAAAUGGAAUAGUAAGCCUAUGAACGUAACAACAGAUGAUUAUAGCUCCUUAUAUUAGGUUAUGAGUGAAUUAAGUUUGUUUUAUAGAAAUGUUUUUUAAAAGAGUUAAUAGGCAUGCUACUUAUUGCAUUAAGAACUUAGUAAGUAAGGGAAUUUGUU